RNAcentral lists this ribosomal RNA (205 nucleotides) under uncultured bacterium. Its description in RNAcentral is "partial 16S ribosomal RNA". It matches the Rfam family "Bacterial small subunit ribosomal RNA", at positions 524 to 728 of the family's 1533-position model. The record is from RNAcentral.
UACGAAGGGGGCUAGCGUUGCUCGGAAUCACUGGGCGUAAAGGGUGCGUAGGCGGAUCUUUAAGUCAGGGGUGAAAUCCUGGAGCUCAACUCCAGAACUGCCUUUGAUACUGAGGAUCUCGAGUUCGGGAGAGGUGAGUGGAACUGCGAGUGUAGAGGUGAAAUUCGUAGAUAUUCGCAAGAACACCAGUGGCGAAGGGCGGACU